UAGAUACCCGGUUAGUCCCAGCCGUAAACGAUGUGGACUAGGUGUGCUGUUACCCAAGUGGUACCAGCGUGCCGAAGGGAAGCCAUUAAGUCCACUGCCAGGGAAGUACGCCCGCAAGGGUGAAACUUAAUGGAAUUGGCGGGGGCGCACUACAAGGGGUGGAUGCUGCGGUUUAAUUGGAUAAAACCCCAGAUAAUCUUACCAGGGCCGACAGCAGAAUGAUGGACAGUCUGAAGGGCUUUCCUGACGCGCUGAGAGGUGUUGUAUGGUCAUCGUCAGCUCGUACUAUGAAGCGUCCUGUUAACUCAGGCAACGGGCGAGACCCAUGUCCCUAGUUGCUACUUUCACUUUUGUGGGGGGCACUCUAGGGAGACUGCAGUAGCAAUACUGAGGAAGGAGUGGGCAACGGUAGAUCUGUAUGGCCCGAAUGCCCUGGGCAACACGCGGCAUACAAUGGCUGAGCCAAUGGGUUCCGACUCCGAGAGGAGAAGGUAAUCUCCUAAACUUAGCCUCAGUUCGGAUCGAGGGUUGUAACCUACCCUCGUGAAUGCCUGGAAUCCCCAGUAA
Molecule: ribosomal RNA, 567 nt
Filed under: marine metagenome
Description: bacterial SSU rRNA
Rfam family: Archaeal small subunit ribosomal RNA
Source: RNAcentral